GUCAUGUUGAUCAGAGACGCAAAACAGUGUUGUGGCAGUGUUUGGAAUGUUUUUUGUUGGCGAAAUAGCGCAAAAACAGCCAAUAUGCUGUCU
Long non-coding RNA from Sinocyclocheilus rhinocerous, 93 nucleotides. RefSeq lists it as uncharacterized. The record is from RefSeq and is a predicted model, not a curated record. Lineage: Eukaryota; Metazoa; Chordata; Actinopteri; Cypriniformes; Cyprinidae. The transcript has 3 exons.